UAGGGAAUCUUCCACAAUGGGCGAAGCCUGAUGGAGCAACGCCGCGUGUGUGAUGAAGGGUUUCGGCUCGUAAAGCUCUGUUGUAAGAGAAGAACGUGUGUGAGAGUGGAAAGUUCACACAGUGACGGUAACUUACCAGAAAGGGACGGCUAACUACGUGCCAG
This 164-nucleotide ribosomal RNA is filed under the name uncultured bacterium. RNAcentral describes it as "partial 16S rRNA". It matches the Rfam family "Bacterial small subunit ribosomal RNA", at positions 355 to 511 of the family's 1533-position model. The record is from RNAcentral.